RNAcentral lists this small nucleolar RNA (277 nucleotides) under Apaloderma vittatum (bar-tailed trogon). Lineage: Eukaryota; Metazoa; Chordata; Aves; Trogoniformes; Trogonidae. The record is from RNAcentral.
UCUCUGUAGUCCAAGAGAUGCCCUCAGUUGUUAGUACUCUGGGCAUACCAGGCUUGCAGAGAGAGUACCGCCUGUGCGAGGAAGCCGAGGCAUGCCUGUCAGAGUCGCAGCAGUAACAUGCGCAAUAUUCCUCUAACAGUUAUAAUCCUGUUGCCACGGAGAUAAUGACUUAUCCCAUGUCAUUAUUGAUCUAUCAACAGUAAGAGCAAUUUUGCAGUCUGAUAUUGUUUAGCAAAUGGAGUAACAUCUGCUGAACACUGAAAAAACUGCUACAAAU